Molecule: long non-coding RNA, 505 nt
Organism: Dermacentor andersoni
Lineage: Eukaryota; Metazoa; Arthropoda; Arachnida; Ixodida; Ixodidae
Source: RefSeq, a predicted model, not a curated record
AAAUAUACGAGAUGGUAAAAAUAGCUGGAGCACUGUUGCCUCGCCGGAGCCCUUGAAACACAAGGGCCUAGAGGCACGUGCUAUACGAAAGAGCUAUCACAGCGGUAUCCUCUGAAGAGAGGACCCGCUAUGAACAUGUGGGGCUAAUAACAUGCAGGACAACAUCUUUCAGGAAAUUUAGGACUGCGUUGGUAUCAAAUAGCGGUUCUGGGCCGAGUAACAUUACGGGAUGUAGGGGGAUGUGCUGCCGGUAUGCUAGGGAAAAAUGUUUCCUUCUUUCAGAUUCGGCUGCCCGACACUCCAGGAGGACGUGGAGGACGGUCAGCCUCUCCCCGCAUCUACCGCAAGUUGGAGGAUCAUUUUCAGGUGCAGUACACCGGAUUCCGAGAAGGACGGACCAAUGGCUGCGUAGGACACCCCGGCAUGCGACUUAGAAGCGUCUGUGUAAAACUCUGUGCACGAGUACUUGUACUGGAGCUCCAAGAAAUGCAUUUUGAUAUGUGUC